GCGUUGUACUUGUAUCUAAACUAUCUGUUUGUGCUGUAGCCCUAAGUAUUUGGUUGCUGUACCGCGACAUCUGCAGUGCUGUCAACCAGAGACAGUGUUGGUCUUGGCAUUCAACUUGAAUGGUGGCAGUAUUUCAGCAUACCUGCAAGUAGUAAACGAUUCCGGACAAGUCAUUACGCAAACAAAUUCAAUCAAUGUAACUCACCCGUGGCUUUCAGUCUUACCCUACCUUGUCAGAAGUUUGCCAAACUAGAUGACCCUAAUGCCGAGCGUUACGUGAGUAUAAGAGCAGUGGGAAGUGGAUCCACCUCGUUCAGUAAGGUCACAAGAGUCGCAGUCAAAGCAAGCCCUUCGCUUGUGUUCGUACAAACAGACAAACCCGUCUACGUGGAAUACGAUGAAGGUAAGGCAACGUGAGAUGUCGUUUUCUUCGAGGGUUACUGUUUGUCUCUUUCCAGUUCACAUUCGAGUUGCCGUUCUUGGAUGCAAUUUUCGUCCGUGCUGCGGAGGCGACAAAGAAGUGAAUAACACUUGACUUUGAUAAGAGCAAGAUUGAGAAAAUAAUCAUAUUUUUUCUCUUUUAGUGCGUUUGUAAUGUCAAUUUAGAUAUCAGGAACCCACAAAACAUUAUUGUUGAUCGAUUGCCCAUACCAUCAUGUUCUUCUGACGGAGCGAUCAAACGUAAAGAUUUCAAGCUGGGGCCUUCUCCUGUGCAAGGUGACUGGCCAAUUAUUGCCAAGCGUACCUGUGAUG
Long non-coding RNA from Corticium candelabrum, 753 nucleotides. RefSeq lists it as uncharacterized. NCBI's taxonomy places the organism in Eukaryota, Metazoa, Porifera, Homoscleromorpha, Homosclerophorida, Plakinidae. The transcript has 4 exons. The record is from RefSeq and is a predicted model, not a curated record.